GUUUGAUCUGGCUCGAANUCACGCUGGCGGCGUGCCUACACNUGCAAGUCGAACGUGAACGGGGGCAACCCNCAGNAAAGUGGCGUACGGGUGAGAACACGUAGGUAAUCUCCCUAGAGUCUGGAAUAACCGGCCGAAAGGCUGGCUANUACUGGAUAGAGCGACGGAAUCCGUAAUUGGGUUUUUCGGGAAAGGGAGGUCGUAAGACCCUUCGCUCUAGGAUGAGCCUGCGUCCCNUCAGCUAGUUGGCGAGGUAAUGGCUCACCAAGGCUUUGACGGGUAGCUGGUCUGAGAGGAUGAUCAGCCACACUGGAACUGAAACACGGUCCAGACUCCUACGGGAGGCAGCAGUGGGGAAUCUUGCGCAAUGGACGAAAGUCUGACGCAGCCACGCCGCGUGAGUGAAGAAGGCCUUCGGGUUGUAAGCUCU
Molecule: ribosomal RNA, 430 nt
Filed under: uncultured bacterium
Lineage: Bacteria
Description: bacterial SSU rRNA
Rfam family: Bacterial small subunit ribosomal RNA
Source: RNAcentral